AUUGAACGCUGGCGGAAUGCUUUACACAUGCAAGUCGAACGGCAGCACGGACUUCGGUCUGGUGGCGAGUGGCGAACGGGUGAGUAAUGUAUCGGAACGUGCCCGGUCGUGGGGGAUAACGUAGCGAAAAUUACGCUAAUACCGCAUACGAUCUAUGGAUGAAAGCGGGGGAUCGCAAGACCUCGCGCGAACGGAGGGGCCGAUAUCAGAUUAGGUAGUUGGUGGGGUAAAGGCCCACCAAGCCAACGAUCUGUAACUGGGCUGAGAGGACGACCAGCCAAACUGGAACCGACACACGGUCCAGACUCCUACGGGAGGCAGCAGUGGGGAAUUUUGGACAAUGGGCGAAAGCCUGAUCCAGCCAUUCCGCGUGCAGGAUGAAGGCCCUCGGGUUGUAAACUGCCUUUGUACAGAACGAAAAGGUUUCUACUAAUACUAGGAGCACAUGACGGUACUGUAAGAAUAAGCACCGGCUAACUACGUGCCAGCCGCCGCCGUAA
RNAcentral lists this ribosomal RNA (500 nucleotides) under uncultured bacterium. RNAcentral describes it as "partial 16S ribosomal RNA". It matches the Rfam family "Bacterial small subunit ribosomal RNA", at positions 30 to 523 of the family's 1533-position model. The record is from RNAcentral.